Molecule: long non-coding RNA, 691 nt
Filed under: Homo sapiens (human)
Lineage: Eukaryota; Metazoa; Chordata; Mammalia; Primates; Hominidae
Description: non-protein coding lnc-ARL4C-7:1
Source: RNAcentral
ACACCAACUUUCCACACCUAAGUAACAAAAGGAUGGGAGGCUAGUCCCUUUGCAAACCCCGUCCCUCUUUCCAUCUGUGUAGCAGAUGGAAAAUUGAAAGUAUAUCUGAUUGGUUGCUUUAUGCGUGGAAGCUUCUUCAAACUGGCUCCUGUGUUCUUUUGACAUACUCCCAUCAUUCUGUGAGAACAUCCGUAUUUCUUGGCACAAUAAAAUAUUUGUUCUCACUGUGUUACCCAGGCUGGUCUUGAACUCCUGGCCUGAAGCCAUUCUCCUGCUUCAGCCCCAAAAGUGCAGGGAUUACAGGCUAUUUUUGUUUCUAUUUGUAGUUCUGUCAAAUUUUUGUUGUCUAUAUUUUUAAGCUUUGUUAAUGGGUACAUCUACUGGAUGAACUGUACUUUUAGCAUUAUAUGGCACACCUCUGCCAAAUUCAUGUGCUGAAACUUAAUCAGCAAUGUGAUGGUAAUAGGUGGGGCCUUUAAAGGUGAUUAAGUCAUGUGAGUGACCUUUAUAAAAAAGGCUUCAUGCGUUGUUCAGCUCUCUUUCCCCUUCUAUCUCUUUUGUCAUGCAAAGAGAGGAUGUGGUGUUUGUCCACAUUGGAGGAUGCAGCGACAGGGCGUCACCUUGGAAGUAGAGAGCAGCCCUCAGGGGAUGCUGAGCCUGUGGAAGUAUGGAUUUUUUUUUUUUUUUUUUU